Molecule: ribosomal RNA, 501 nt
Filed under: uncultured bacterium
Lineage: Bacteria
Description: partial 16S ribosomal RNA
Rfam family: Bacterial small subunit ribosomal RNA
Source: RNAcentral
AUUGAACGCUGGCGGCAUGCCUUACACAUGCAAGUCGAACGGCAGCACGGGUGCUUGCACCUGGUGGCGAGUGGCGAACGGGUGAGUAAUAUAUCGGAACGUACCCUAUUGUGGGGGAUAACGCAGCGAAAGCUGUUCUAAUACCGCUUAAUCCAUAAGGGGGAAAGCGGGGGACCGUAAGGCCUCGCGCAAUUAGAGCGGCCGAUACCUGAUUAGCUAGUUGGUGAGGUAAAGGCUCACCAAGGCAACGAUCAUGAGCUGGUCUGAGAGGACGAUCAGCCACACUGGGACUGAGACACGACCCAGACUCCUACGGGAGGCAGCAGUGGGGAAUUUUGGACAAUGGGGGCAACCCUGAUCCAGCAAUGCCGCGUGAGUGAAGAAGGCCUUCGGGUUGUAAAGCUCUUUUGUCAGGGAAGAAACAGCAGCUCUAACACAGUUUGCGAAUGACGGUACCUGAAGAAUAAGCACCGGCUAACUACGUGCCAGCCGCCGCGGUAA